CCUGUGCUGGCAAGACCGUAUCUGGAGCUUCUUCUGUGGCUUAGAUAUUUAGAGUCAUUUCUCAUUUGGAAAAUAAUUUUUGAAAUCUACUUUUAAAGCAAUGAUGAAAAUAAUUAGCAUUCAUAUUCAUAAUUUGCAAUCAACUCAGGCUUUGGAAUGAUUAUCUACUUAGUUAUGAUCAGGUAGAAGUCUUUUAUCUUCCACUGGCAUGUAAAGAGCCAGGGCUGUUGUCUGUUUCCUUAUUUGUCUUCUUUCUAAAGUGAUUUGGACUCUGCUACAGUGGUUAGUGUUUGGCUCAAUCUUUAUAUCCUGGAUGUAGAGUUGAUUGGCUGGGCGAUUUUUGCAGAUAUGUUUUGGAGAGGCAUAGCCAUGUUCAUCUGUUUUUGCAAUAUCAUAGGAAUUCUACAAAUUGUUAAGAUAAUAUUUGUGACUGCUCAUUCAAUUUGAUAACUUUCACUCUUGGGAAUUAGUAAAGAAAAAGGCCCCUUACACCUUCUGGAAUGAGCAUUCAGAAAAAAUUUACUAUUCAUUGGAACAGGAUAUUAGGCUCAAUAUAUGACUGCAGUGAGAAACCUAAUCAAAUGAUAAUGUCAUUUUGUAAUAAGGUUGACUUUCUCUCAGGAUUGACUAUUAAUCUGCUAAAAAAAAAAUGGCUUUGUCGUAUAGUGAUAAAGUUGUUGUAUUUUAGUUGCUCUUCAUCUUUGGGUAUAAAAUUUUAUAGCCAUCACAUAUUUCAAACUAAUAAAAUUGAAAAUAUU
Molecule: long non-coding RNA, 758 nt
Filed under: Rattus norvegicus (Norway rat)
Lineage: Eukaryota; Metazoa; Chordata; Mammalia; Rodentia; Muridae
Description: long non-coding RNA NONRATT026239
Source: RNAcentral